This is a long non-coding RNA of Quercus lobata, 607 nucleotides long. RefSeq lists it as uncharacterized. The transcript is spliced from 2 exons. The record is from RefSeq and is a predicted model, not a curated record. Lineage: Eukaryota; Viridiplantae; Streptophyta; Magnoliopsida; Fagales; Fagaceae.
UUUUUUAUAAGAUUUUGAUUGCAGUUUGUGCUGCAAGUUUUCAACAACAAUUGAUUAGAAAACAAGAAUAUAGGUGCUGCAAGUUUCUUAAAAAGUCUUCAUCCCUCGUUGCAUCUCAUUUUCAUUUCUAUUCUUUUUUAUUACAUUUUGAUUGCAGUUUGUGUGUGUGUAAGAAAAAUAUUGCAUUAUACAUGCCACGCCCCUUUUUUCCCUUUCUGUUGAGGGUGCAGGGGUUGUUAUUAAAGACACAAAAACCAAUAUAUUUAUUUAUUCUUAAAUUAUCUUGUUCUCCCUUUCUGUUGAGGGUGCAGGGGUUGUUAUUAAAGACACAAAAACCAAUAUAUUUAUUUAUUCUUAAAUUAUCUUGUUCUCUAUCCAGUCAAUGGCUAUCAUAUAUUGGCAUCCAAAAGUAGAACAUCUGAGGAGAAUAUAUUUCAAAAUUGGAAAGGCUUUGAAGUGUCCGAGAAAUAUAUUUUUGCCGAAAGCUCCAGUAUCAAAGGAAAGAAGAGCUCAAAGCGUCAACAUAAACGGAGGAAAGAGCGAGGAAAUACAUUAAAAAAAAAAAAAAAAAAAAAAAAAAAAAAAAAAAAAAAAAAAAAAAAAAAAA